Long non-coding RNA from Pleuronectes platessa (European plaice), 1105 nucleotides. RefSeq lists it as uncharacterized. The record is from RefSeq and is a predicted model, not a curated record. The transcript has 3 exons. NCBI's taxonomy places the organism in Eukaryota, Metazoa, Chordata, Actinopteri, Pleuronectiformes, Pleuronectidae.
AAACAACCAAUCCUUUAACUCAGGGCUGCGUUAUAAACACGGAGCGCUUGGAAGACCACGAUGUCAUCUUCCUUCUGUCAGGAGGAUCAAAGUGAAGCUACAGGAGUUUCAUUAACGUCAACAACUUGGACCGAACACUUUGUUUUGCUUGAUGAAGAGCAGGAAGGGCAGCCUGGAGAGAAAGAGAAGCCGGGUUGAGCCCACUAACAUCAUCCACGUACCACGAGGAAGAUGAGGGAAAGAAAUGAUCCUACCAUUAAAGAGACUGUGAAAAGAACGUUGAGAACAUCACCACUCUACAGGAAGACACAGUCCAGUAAUGGGUGUCAGAAUUUCAGUAGUGAACGACAGGUACUGUGGAAAAAUGUGUGUCAUUGUUGUACAAUGUCCUUUGACUCUGUUUAAACAAGGUCAACACAAAAAGGUUUGAUUGUAAACUGAUAUUGGUAUGAAUUCAUGUUACUCUCCUCUUCACAAGAAACAAACAAUCCAAAUUACCUGCAGAAAGCCCUUGAUGGACGCUUCAGCUGCAUCGUCAGACUGGCCAGACAGCAAGAUGCCAACUUUAAUGCCAAUUUAUUUGUGUAACAUUCUGUGACCAAAUGUAUAGAUAACUUUUUGUAGAUUGUAAAAAUAGAUAACCCAUUUAUUACAAAAAAACUACACUAGAAUUACCGCACUGCGUUGUAUGACUCCGCUAAGCAGUGCAGUGUCCGUCUACAUAUUUCUACAUAUUUUCUCUCAUAUAAAUGACACUGUAUCUCUUGACAACUGAAACCAUAAGAUGAGGUCAGUGUGGCCUUGACCUUUUUACUUUAAGACAAAUACAAAGUUAGACAAUCCGAAAACAUGCAGUUAUGCCUCCGGCGACUCGCUAUUGCAGAGGCAUUAAAACCGUAGUGUAGUAGAUUGGAUUUUAUUGGUGUUACAUUAGACAUCUUGUAUGGGUACACCAAAAAAUAUAUUUGGUUUCACAUUCUAGAUGGCAAUAAGCAGAGUCAUCAACUCAGGAAAAAUAUUUCUGUAGAAAAGAAAGCCUUGUAUGUGUGUAUGUAUACAUACACACAAACGCACAAUUGAGACUUUUUUGUCUUUUAUCAUAUAU